Molecule: long non-coding RNA, 2228 nt
Filed under: Brassica napus (rape)
Lineage: Eukaryota; Viridiplantae; Streptophyta; Magnoliopsida; Brassicales; Brassicaceae
Description: long non-coding RNA (BNAP_LNC003540)
Source: RNAcentral
AGAGGAGGAGAGCCUCCACUUGGAUACUCUGGUCGUUAUGGAGGAGGAGGCGGUGGUGGUUACAACAGAGGUGGUUACGGCAUGGGAGGUGGAGGAGGAGGAGGGUACGGUGGUGGACCUGGAGAUAUGUAUGGUGGGCCGUAUGGUGAGCCAGCAGGUGGUUAUGGUGGACCAAGUGGGAGUUAUGGAAGUGGAUACGGUAGUGGUGGGUAUGGUGGAGGAGGCUAUAGAGGCAGCAGUGGUGGGUAUGACAUGGGUGGUACUGGAGUUGGAGGCGGAGGAGGUAAAGUAGAAUCCAACGGUUAAGAUUCAUCCAUUGUAAAAUUAAAAAACACGGGAUCCAGUGCUACGCGGAGUAUAAUAAGUAUUGUCCUCCUCUCUCUUCUAAAGGAUUCUAGGGCUCGCUUACUGCGCUACACGGCUUUUAGGCGGCUGCCUCUUCUUUCUUCUUCUUCUUCUUCGCCUCGAAGGUCUUUACGGUUUCGAUUUUUCUCGGCAAUGGACCCUUAUGCAACGGAAACAGUCGUGGAUGAGGAGAACCACGAAGUGAAACCAUCCGAAGAUGUUGAGGACGAUGACGACAAAUCUCAGCCUCAAUCCGGUGGUGGCAUCGAUAGCGCUGGGUAAGUUUUCUCAAAAUAUUCUAGAUUCAAUAAUUAGCGUUCGAAUUGAGAUAGAGGAGAAGAAAAUAGCAUCGUAUUGUUUUCGAUUCUUCUGUUACAAAAAUUCGUGAUAGGGAAAUAGAAAAGUUUUCAACUUUAUAUGGAUACUCUUACUGAUUGGUGAAAGCCUAGAGAAAUCUGGAGUGGAAAAGGAUUACUUAUACUUAGUGAGUUAGUCUACUUAUACGGUGUUUUUUUUGGAAUUUGUAGAAAGAUAUUUGUUGGAGGUUUAGCCAGGGAGACAACUUCAGGUUAGCUCUUUGUGUCUGGUUGCCACUUUGUUAAGAAGAGGUUAGCUCUCUCGUUAUUGGGUUAAAGUUCAAUACUUUAUUCGGAUUCUUUUUUAUCUGUUUAUGCAGCUGAGUUCGUCAAGCAUUUUGAGAAGUAUGGAGAGAUUACAGAUUCUGUGAUUAUGAAGGAUAGGAAAACUGGACAGCCCCGAGGGUUUGGGUUUGUUACUUAUGCUGAUUCCUCUGUGGUCGAUAAACUUAUUCAGGACAAUCACAUUAUAAACGGGAAGCAGGUUAGUAUUUAGCUAACAAGCUUAAGUGUGUGUUCUUAAGUUGUGUCUUACAGUGAAAUAACGUUUGCUUCUUCUUUUUUGGCUCUUCAGGUUGAGAUUAAGCGGACGAUACCGAGAGGAUCCAUGAGCUCCUCCAACGAGAUCAAAACCAAGAAGAUAUUUGUUGGGGGAAUUCCUUCAACUGUUGAUGAUGGUAGGACACUUGGCUCGUUUAUCAUAAUAUUGUCAUUUCAUGAUCAUGUCUAUCUGUGAAGUAACUCAUCUGGUGAUUGGGGUUUGUGUAGAUGAGUUCAAGGAGUUCUUUAUGCAAUUUGGGGAGCUGAAGGAACACCAGAUUAUGCGUGAUCACGCAACUGGAAGAUCACGUGGGUUCGGGUUUGUUACAUAUGAAAGUGAAGAGAUGGUUGAUCUUCUCUUGGCAAAAGGGAACAGAAUUGAGCUCUCUGGGACUCAGGUAACCAAAUAUUGUUGAGAUUCUAAGGCUUUUGUAGCUAAACAGAACACUUACAUCUCCCUCUUACAUUGUUGUAUUGUCUUAUAUAGGUUGAGAUAAAGAAGGCAGAGCCAAAGAAACCAAACUCGGUAACAACCCCAUCAAGGCGGUUUGGUGACUCAUGCUCUAACUUUGGCGGAGGCUAUGGAGACGGUUAUGGUGGAGGACCCGGCGGUGGAUAUGGUGGUCCAGAUGGUCCUUACAAAUCUGGUGGCGGCUAUGGAGGUGGCCGGUCUGGUGGCUAUGGAGGGUACGGAGGAGAGUUUGGCGGGUAUGGCGGCGGUGGAUAUGGUGGUGGUGUUGGACCAUAUAGAGGAGGAGAGCCUCCACUUGGAUACUCUGGUCGUUAUGGAGGAGGAGGCGGUGGUGGUUACAACAGAGGUGGUUACGGCAUGGGAGGUGGAGGAGGAGGAGGGUACGGUGGUGGACCUGGAGAUAUGUAUGGUGGGCCGUAUGGUGAGCCAGCAGGUGGUUAUGGUGGACCAAGUGGGAGUUAUGGAAGUGGAUACGGUAGUGGUGGGUAUGGUGGAGGAGGCUAUAGAGGCAGCAG